Molecule: non-coding RNA, 267 nt
Organism: Notechis scutatus (mainland tiger snake)
Lineage: Eukaryota; Metazoa; Chordata; Lepidosauria; Squamata; Elapidae
Source: RefSeq, a predicted model, not a curated record
CUUUUGGCGUGAAGGAUUUCAACAGGGACGCCAUCACAGGGACUUCUGAGGAUCCAUCACAAGAUGAGCUCCUUAAGAUCGGACAACAUGCAGGCUCUUCUACAAAUUUUUCUUUGCUUUGUGCUUCUAGCAACAGGCAGUUGUUUGCAAUGUGAAACCUGCCACAGCAACAAGACUUCCUGUACAGGUCCCAUGGAGAACUGCACUGAUGGAGACACCUGCGUCAUUGGGAUUGUGCAAUCUUCUCUGGGUUGGUGCAAGGACCUG